GUCACUUUAGCUCAGCGGGUAGAGCGGCGGACUUUUGAGCUGAGGCUGAGGAGUUCGAGUCCCCUAAGUGGCU
Molecule: transfer RNA, 73 nt
Filed under: Anisakis simplex (herring worm)
Lineage: Eukaryota; Metazoa; Nematoda; Chromadorea; Rhabditida; Anisakidae
Rfam family: tRNA
About the family: Transfer RNA (tRNA) molecules are approximately 80 nucleotides in length.
Source: Rfam by way of RNAcentral